GUGACCAGGACUUGGGGCGGAGCUGAAGAACAUCCUGAGCGUGGGGAAAGAGAGAGAGAGUCUGGUUCUGUGGAGACGAGCCAUGGUGGGAGAAGUGGAGAAGUCAUUAUGAUGGUCUUGAUCGGAUAGAGAAGAAAAGGCUCCGGUCAGAGAAGACGCCCGUGAAAAAGAGUCCUUGAAGCAUCAAAACAAGCCCGGCAAUCUGCAAUGCUGUGAAGGCUUAGCUGUAUUAUAUUCUGCUCUACAAAUCCCUGCCACCGAGACAUCUCACGAUGGGGCUUGUACCCUUUCAUACAAAAGACACAAGAAUCUGCUAAGUGUUUCACAUCAGCAAAUAUCAAGGAAAUACCUGGUUUGCAUUCUGUUCUACUAGCAAAGGUCUUUGAAAAUCUUUUCUAGGAUCUGAUUGUUGAAAGGUAACAAUAAAGAGAUGAGUAUGGAACAAUAUCAAAAGCAUUCGACUUACAAUGGAACAUUACAGCAGGUGUGGGAGCUAAAUGCCACAUACAGGGGGCAGUACGCUACAUAUGUACUUAUGUAGUUAUUUGUAGAUGGACCUUGAGAUGGUUGGAAGAGUUAACAUCCCAUAUUCUACAUUAAAUAACAAUGCAAUAUAAACUAUACAUUCACACCAAACUAACAAUGUGCAUCUCUAGUUCUAACCUAUCAUGUAUAGUUAGCAUUUAGCAUAUUAUGUACUCACUUUGAAGCAGGAUAAAUUAUGAUUGUCUU
Long non-coding RNA from Hyla sarda, 732 nucleotides. RefSeq lists it as uncharacterized. The record is from RefSeq and is a predicted model, not a curated record. The transcript has 3 exons. Lineage: Eukaryota; Metazoa; Chordata; Amphibia; Anura; Hylidae.